GGAUAACCUACCUAUAAGACUGGGAUAACUUCGGGAAACCGGAGCUAAUACCGGAUAAUAUUUUGAACCGCAUGGUUCAAAAGUGAAAGACGGUCUUGCUGUCACUUAUAGAUGGAUCCGCGCUGCAUUAGCUAGUUGGUAAGGUAACGGCUUACCAAGGCAACGAUGCAUAGCCGACCUGAGAGGGUGAUCGGCCACACUGGAACUGAGACACGGUCCAG
This 221-nucleotide ribosomal RNA is filed under the name uncultured Staphylococcus sp. RNAcentral describes it as "partial 16S ribosomal RNA". It matches the Rfam family "Bacterial small subunit ribosomal RNA", at positions 119 to 334 of the family's 1533-position model. Lineage: Bacteria; Bacillati; Bacillota; Bacilli; Caryophanales; Staphylococcaceae. The record is from RNAcentral.